RNAcentral lists this long non-coding RNA (1128 nucleotides) under Piliocolobus tephrosceles (Ugandan red Colobus). Its description in RNAcentral is "lncRNA (ENSPTEG00000006702.1)". The record is from RNAcentral. Lineage: Eukaryota; Metazoa; Chordata; Mammalia; Primates; Cercopithecidae.
CUAUAGUAAAAGAUAAUAGUCAUAACACACUUAAUGAAGAAUUAUGUGAAUUAAUUGAUAAAAGUGAUUGCAACAUAGAAGAAAUAAUAAACACUAAUACAACCACACAGUCAUUAGAAUCAACUACUAAACAUGAUUAUGAAAAGGUGUUAAUUGAUGCUUCACCUGAUGAUUUAGAUGAAACUACGGAAGAAGAAGAAGAAGAAGAAGAAGAAGAAGAAGAGGAAGAAGGAGAAAAGAAAGAAGGAGAAGAAAAAGAAGAGGAAGAAGAAGAUGAAGAAGAAGAUGAAGAAGAAGAUGAAGAAGAAACUUAUCUAUUCGAAAGUAUACAUGAUCUUCAUAAACAGAUUUUUGAAGAUGAUGAUAUUCGAGAAAUUACAAAAGAAUCGGAUUUGCUAAUAAUUGAAAAUUCACAAGACCCACAAACUUCGAAUGAAAAUGUUUCACCAACAACUCCACCAACAGAUCCACAAACUGAUCCACCAACUGCUACACAAUUACAAGAAAGUGAUGAUGAUAAAAAUGUGGAAAAUAAAAACAAUGGAAUAAACAUAAUUACCAAAAAACAUUUAGAUAAAAAAUCCGAAUAUAUAAAGAUACCAUUAACACCAGAAAAUAGAGAACAAUUAAAAAAAGUGUUACUGUCAAUGAAGAUGUCAUAUGAAGAAAAAAAUAAAAGAUAUACACACAAACUUAAAUUUACAAUUAGAUACAUCGAUAAUUUAUUUGAUGAUAUUUUAAAAGAAGGAGAUCAACAAGGAGAAAUUAAUGUUACCAAAUAUCAUAGACAAUAUAAUGAUUUAAAAAGGGAUUACGAAUUCCCAUUAAAUGAGUUAGAAUAUAAUGUAGUAAAAAAGAUUUUAGUUGAUUGUUUAAAAAAAGAAGAUUACAGUUUAAAACAAACUUAUUUACCUGAUAUAUUAAAACUUAUAUUUGAAAAUGAAGAAGCUAGAAAUGAAUUUGAUAAUUUAAUUUAUGGCAUUUAUAGCUAUGCAAAAAAAAUAUUAUUAUAUAUCGGGACAUGAUUUUAACAUUUCUAUUAUAUAUAAAUACUUAUUUUCAAAUAUUUUAAAUAUGAUUAAAAAUUAAACAAAUAAAUUUGUAAGGAGCGUUUUUUUUUUUUUUUUU